UCCUACGGGGGGCAGCAGUAGGGAAUCUUCCACAAUGGACGAAAGUCUGAUGGAGCAACGCCGCGUGAGUGAAGAAGGGUUUCGGCUCGUAAAGCUCUGUUGGUAGUGAAGAAAGAUAGAGGGAGUAACUGGCCUUUAUUUGACGGUAAUUACUUAGAAAGUCACGGCUAACUACGUGCCAGCAGCCGCGGUAAUACGUAGGUGGCAAGCGUUGUCCGGAUUUAUUGGGCGUAAAGGGAGUGCAGGGGGGU
RNAcentral lists this ribosomal RNA (251 nucleotides) under uncultured bacterium. RNAcentral's name for it is "partial 16S ribosomal RNA". It matches the Rfam family "Bacterial small subunit ribosomal RNA", at positions 337 to 580 of the family's 1533-position model. The record is from RNAcentral.